UUUUUUUUUUUGACAAAUGCAAGAAGAUUUCAUUAACUUGAAUAUAAUACAAUCGGGACAAAGCCCCAACUGUCGAUACAACCAGGUGGUAAAACAAAUAGCAUGCUAAAAACAAUUAGAUGAUUUGUUUCCUGAUCGUUAAACAGAUAGAAUUAAAUAAUUCUUGAAGCUAAGAACGAAAUCAAAGACAUUCCAAGCGAUCCAAAUUGCACUAAAAUCUCUGUAAACAGUAACAUCGCAAUUGACCAUAUCACAUAAAAACUAUUGAUAGCCCAAUGUUCAGAAACACCAAUCGCAUAAAUGGAGAUUGGAGAAGUGGCACCACAGCUAUCUACAUGCCGGAUACCA
This 348-nucleotide long non-coding RNA is filed under the name Daucus carota (carrot). Its description in RNAcentral is "long non-coding RNA (DCAR_LNC001271)". Lineage: Eukaryota; Viridiplantae; Streptophyta; Magnoliopsida; Apiales; Apiaceae. The record is from RNAcentral.